RNAcentral lists this ribosomal RNA (331 nucleotides) under uncultured eukaryote. Its description in RNAcentral is "partial 18S ribosomal RNA". It matches the Rfam family "Eukaryotic small subunit ribosomal RNA", at positions 1470 to 1796 of the family's 1831-position model. The record is from RNAcentral.
CCCUUAGAUGUUCUGGGCCGCACGCGCGCUACACUGACGAAGUCAGCGAGCAUGUCCUACGCCGACAGGUGCGGGGAAUCUUGUCAAACUUCGUCGUGAUGGGGAUUGAUUAUUGAAAUUCUUGAUCAUCAACGAGGAAUUCCUAGUAAGCGCAAGUCAGCAGCUUGCGUUGAUUACGUCCCUGCCCUUUGUACACACCGCCCGUCGCUACUACCGCUUGAAUGGUUUAGUGAGAUCUUCGGAUUGGCGCCACUGCGGCUCAGCAAUGGGCUCGGUGGAUGCCGAAAAGUUGAUCAAACUUGAUCAUUUAGAGGAAGUAAAAGUCGUAACA